GAGAGAGAGAGAGAGAGGGACAAACUAUUUUCACCUGCAACUGUCAUAAAGCAGAUGCAUAAUAUUUCAUCAUGAUUGAACAGAAAUUUAUUCAGCCUCCUGGACACAGACAUUACAAAAGAGGUGUUGACUAAAAUGAAAACGAUGAACGUGAACAGAAGAAAUCAAGUCCCAAUUGGUUUCACUUUAGGCAAUGAUCCUUACGAAAUCUUAGGUUUUGAAUUGAAAUCAGAAAAAGGGGGAAAAAGAAAAAACUACAUUCUUUUCCACCUCCCUCACCAAAAGUUGCUGCAAAGGAGACUGUCAUAAAGGCA
RNAcentral lists this unclassified non-coding RNA (314 nucleotides) under Hevea brasiliensis (rubber tree). Lineage: Eukaryota; Viridiplantae; Streptophyta; Magnoliopsida; Malpighiales; Euphorbiaceae. The record is from RNAcentral.